This 808-nucleotide long non-coding RNA is filed under the name Amborella trichopoda. RNAcentral describes it as "long non-coding RNA (ATRI_LNC003737)". The record is from RNAcentral. Lineage: Eukaryota; Viridiplantae; Streptophyta; Magnoliopsida; Amborellales; Amborellaceae.
GUGUGUGUGUGUGUGUGUGUGUGUGUGUCCACGAAUACUAGGAACAUUCCCGUAUAGGCGUCUGUUGGGUAUAUGUGACCAUUAAAGGCCCCAUGAGUGCUUGUAAAUAAACCUUUGGUAUAAUGGAACUUGAACUCAGUGGGGGUGUGGUCCUAUGUGGACCAUACUAAGCAAAUGAUGUUUGCCGAUAUCGAACUGAGCUUGACGUGCUCGGCCAGUCGGUUGGAAAAAACCCAUGUUACCUGGGCAUAGAAAUUAAACCGAUAGGGGUUAUGAUGGAUCAUCCCUUGAUAAAGUCAGAAUAUGCCCGGAUGAGUGAGCCGAUGAACUGUGUGACCCUUGUAUGUUAUGGUGGCCCCUCAGAGACGGGAGCCAAACCUCAUCUAUGUACCAUCACACGGCAUAUACAAAUAAUAGCAGUAUUGGAUAAGCGAACCAACUUUCAAGGUGAAUCAUGUACAUGUGCGAGAUAUUAUCCCUAUGCACCAUAGAGCUGUAGUUGCAUCAGGUCUAGGUGAUCGUGGUUUCUCUCUAAGGGAGAACCUGAAAUCAACAGACUGAGAUUAGAUCCCCUUGCUCAUUAGCUGACUUUGGUAGCCCAAUCAUCUGCCCCUACGAUAGAUUAUGGGUCAUGGGAACCGUUGAGUCAAUUUGAAAAAGCAAGUGCGGAUUGUGGUCCACAGUAGAAGGUAGAGUGUUCUAAAGUUAUAAAUAUUCCUAGACCAUAUAGAUCCAAUUCCCAUCAAAAUUAUUUAAUUAUAAUUGUUUUAAUGUUAUUUGAUUUUUAGAAUUAUUGUUUGAAUUUUUC